This 467-nucleotide ribosomal RNA is filed under the name uncultured bacterium. RNAcentral describes it as "partial 16S ribosomal RNA". It matches the Rfam family "Bacterial small subunit ribosomal RNA", at positions 29 to 506 of the family's 1533-position model. The record is from RNAcentral.
ACGAACGCUGGCGGCGUGCUUAACACAUGCAAGUCGAACGGAAAGGCCCUGCUUGCAGGGUGCUCGAGUGGCGAACGGGUGAGUAACACGUGGGUGAUCUGCCCCUUACUUUGGGAUAAGCCUGGGAAACUGGGUCUAAUACUGGAUAGGACCAUGCUGUAGGUGGUGUGGUGGAAAGAUUAGUUUCGGUAAGGGAUGAGCUCGCGGCCUAUCAGCUUGUUGGUGGGGUAAUGGCCUACCAAGGCGUCGACGGGUAGCCGGCCUGAGAGGGUGGACGGCCACUUUGGGCUGGGGCGCGAGCCCCCACCCCCCGGGGGGGCGGCAGGGGGGAUUUUGUCACAUUGGGCGAAGCCCUGAGGCAGCGCGCCCGCGGGGGGGGUGACGGCUUCGGGUUUGAAACCUCCUUUCAGCAUGGAGAAACCCCUUGUGGGGAGGGUAGUGGUAGAAGAACCCCCGCCUACCUACGC